This 472-nucleotide ribosomal RNA is filed under the name uncultured bacterium. Its description in RNAcentral is "bacterial SSU rRNA". It matches the Rfam family "Bacterial small subunit ribosomal RNA", at positions 29 to 506 of the family's 1533-position model. The record is from RNAcentral.
ACGAACGUUGGCGGCGUGGAUUAGGCAUGCAAGUCGAACGAGAACCACUGGGAAACUGGUGGGGAAAGUGGCGAAAGGGGCAGUAAUGCGUGGGUAACGUACCCCCCGGACCGGGAUAGCCUCGGGAAACUGAGAGUAAUACCGGGAGACGUAACUGGGACACCUGUUCUGGUUACCAAAGGGUCCGCCGCCGGGGGAGCGGCUCACGUGGUAUUAGCUUGUUGGUGGGGUAACGGCCCACCAAGGCAAAGAUGCCUAGCAGGUGUGAGAGCACGACCUGCGCCACUGGCACUGCGACACUGGCCAGACACCUACGGGUGGCUGCAGUCGAGGAUCUUCGGCAAUGGGCGCAAGCCUGACCGAGCGACGCCGCGUGCGCGAUGAAGGCCUUCGGGUUGUAAAGCGCUGUCGAGGGGGAGGAAAGCCCGUAAGGGUCUGACCUAUCCCUGGAGGAAGGACGGGCUAAGUUCGU